RNAcentral lists this unclassified non-coding RNA (261 nucleotides) under Hevea brasiliensis (rubber tree). The record is from RNAcentral. Lineage: Eukaryota; Viridiplantae; Streptophyta; Magnoliopsida; Malpighiales; Euphorbiaceae.
GAAGUUCUUAGUAAAAUCCUUCAACUUGGAUAAUUCUGGGCCAAUGUCAAUAUCAGGACAAUUCAUCAGAAUAGACAAGAUUGCUUGAGUUGCACAAGCAUUGUUAAUUACCUGACUCGCAAAAAAUAGAUUUGGGUUGGGAUCCUUAAUAACAAGACGAUCAUCUUUGUCCCCUGGACGCCAUUUGAAUAGAAAUAUCAACCCAUAUAUAGGCCUCAUAUUGUUAAGAGAGUGGAGGUCCAACGAAUACAACUCUUCAAC